GCCUGGUUGGCUUAGUUGGUAAAGCACAUGACUCUUGGUCUUGAGGUUGUGAGCCCCACAUUGGGUA
Molecule: transfer RNA, 67 nt
Filed under: Mustela putorius furo (domestic ferret)
Lineage: Eukaryota; Metazoa; Chordata; Mammalia; Carnivora; Mustelidae
Rfam family: tRNA
About the family: Transfer RNA (tRNA) molecules are approximately 80 nucleotides in length. Their secondary structure includes four short double-helical elements and three loops (D, anti-codon, and T loops). Further hydrogen bonds mediate the characteristic L-shaped molecular structure. tRNAs have two regions of fundamental functional importance: the anti-codon, which is responsible for specific mRNA codon recognition, and the 3' end, to which the tRNAs corresponding amino acid is attached (by aminoacyl-tRNA synthetases). tRNAs cope with the degeneracy of the genetic code in two manners: having more than one tRNA (with a specific anti-codon) for a particular amino acid; and 'wobble' base-pairing, i.e. permitting non-standard base-pairing at the 3rd anti-codon position.
Source: Rfam by way of RNAcentral